AUUUGAACUCGGGCCCUUCUGACUCCACGUCCAGCACUCCAUCCAUUAGGCCACCUUGCUGCCUAGGGAAGUCUGAAUGCAACAAUACAGUUACAGGACCUCUGAAGAGCAACUGAAUUUGGCCCUUGACUGUUCUCUCCAAGGGUAAGGCCCAGGGAAGCAGCCAGCAGCCGUCCUCCUAAUGGCACAAGUGAGCUCAUUGGUACCACAGUGAGGGGAUCAUCCACCUAGCAUAAUGGGAUGCCUUGUGGAUUCUGAACAACAGGCCUGAAAACUGCUCCAGUCUCUGUUCACCUAGUUCUUCCCAUCACUGACAAGCUCCCAAGAAUAUCCUGACUAUUCCUGGGGUCCCCUAUUCAAAAUACAGUUGACUACAUCCUAUUUUUUGUUGAUCAGUGGAAACAGGGCCAUCACAGGCUGGAGAAAGGGAGUAGGGACAUCCUCUUGUUUCUCCCUAAAGGGCCAUAAAACUGGAGGAAGCUUAAGAUGGUCCUGUCCUAAGAAAGUCAUUUUGGAGAGGAUGGGAGUAACAGGAAGAGACAGCAAAAAAAAAGCACUAACUCUUCUCAUCUACUCGCCAGACAGUCUUACAUUUUCAGAUCUUUUUUCCUCUAACCUGUCCUCUACCUUACCCCCACCCAUCUCUAAAUUAAGACACUAGCUUCUACACUAAAGCCAUGAGCUACCUUAAAAUCCUGGCCCCUCUUAGCCCUGGCCCCAGGGGACAGGAAAUAGAAUUAAAGUCAGAUAGCUGGAACUCUCACUACUAACCUCCCCCCUACCCCCACCCCACCACCAGAGAAGAUGAAGUUUAUCAAUGUGUCCUUCCCUUCCCCUAAGCUCCAAAGAAAAAGGCACAGCCUUAAUUAAGAAUAGUAGCCUGAGGGGCAUUCUCUUAAAAAACUGGGAGGGACAAUUCAAUCAAACAAUUAUUAAAGGCUUACUAUGUGCCUGGCACUGUGCUACCCAAUGGAGAUAAGAGGCAAAAAUGCAACCAGUCUUUGACCUCAAGGAGCAUAUAUUCUGCUUGGGGGAGGGGAGAGAAGAUGAGGAAAGAUAAAUGUGAAUUAAACUCAUAUCACUUCUAAACCUGACUCAUAUUUGGGGAUUUUGUUUUCCCCAGAGAAAUAACUGUCUUUACCCAUUCUAUUCAAUCAUCAAUAGAUCCUGAAUGAG
This is a non-coding RNA of Phascolarctos cinereus (koala), 1176 nucleotides long. The record is from RefSeq and is a predicted model, not a curated record. Lineage: Eukaryota; Metazoa; Chordata; Mammalia; Diprotodontia; Phascolarctidae.